RNAcentral lists this ribosomal RNA (96 nucleotides) under Clostridioides difficile. RNAcentral's name for it is "partial 16S ribosomal RNA". It matches the Rfam family "Bacterial small subunit ribosomal RNA", at positions 1 to 105 of the family's 1533-position model. The record is from RNAcentral. Lineage: Bacteria; Bacillati; Bacillota; Clostridia; Peptostreptococcales; Peptostreptococcaceae.
UUAUUUGAGAGUUUGAUCCUGGCUCAGGAUGAACGCUGGCGGCGUGCCUAACACAUGCAAGUUGAGCGAUUUAUUUCGGUAAAGAGCGGCGGACGG